Molecule: non-coding RNA, 32 nt
Filed under: Mus musculus (house mouse)
Lineage: Eukaryota; Metazoa; Chordata; Mammalia; Rodentia; Muridae
Source: RNAcentral
UAAAAAGUCUCAGCCAAGAAUAAGUGCCAUUU